This 226-nucleotide long non-coding RNA is filed under the name Mytilus galloprovincialis (Mediterranean mussel). The record is from RNAcentral. Lineage: Eukaryota; Metazoa; Mollusca; Bivalvia; Mytilida; Mytilidae.
AAACUAGAGGCUCUAAAGAGCCUGUGUCGCUCACCUUGGUGUUUGUCCAUAUUAAACAAAGGACACAGAUGGAUUCAUGACAAAAUUGUGUUUUGGUGUCAGAUGGUGAUGUGUUUGAAGUUCUUACUUUACUGAACGUUCUUGCUACUUACAAUUAUCUGUAUCUACAAUGAACUUGGCCCAUUAGUAACAGAGGAAAAUAUUUUGUAAAUUGACUAUAAAGGGC